ACCGUAUUUGGCAGGAUAUGACAUCAUGUCACACUAAUCUAUCCAAAAAUAAAGUUGGAAGAUCACCAAGUUUUGCUGUUGAAGGGCCGUAAAUAGGCUUUAGAAAUCCAUCUAAGAAAGGGAGUCAGAGGGAUUGAACACCAAUGUUGUCUGGAGAUCCUUCUCACUGGUGGCUUAACUACAGGGAUCACAUGCCGCUCGCUUGCAAGACCUUUGAGCAGAAGUGGAAUUUCAGAAAACCCUGAGCUCAGUGAGCAGGAAUGCAGAGGGUCCUUCAGUGGUCGCCAUUUCAAACGGAAGGACUGCAGGAGCGUGUUGUGUUUCAGCUUGGAGGUUCUGCGACAUUCACAGCUCCUUUAUAGGAGGAGUUGGUAUUGACUCACUGGAUCAAAGAGAAACCAAACUCAGACAAUUUUCACAUUCUGAGGUGAUAUUUCUCAAAAAUCCGGAAAGACUGAUGACCCACACGGACUUUCAUUUUCAUAGCAAGCAACCACGUGUCGUGCACACUCCAUCUGAUGUUCAACGUGCUCUUUCAGCCUUUGGUUACAGCUGCCUCUCUGCGGUGCCAUCAUGCUAAGUCUGUUACUUUCCUGAUACGCUUUCAAAUCAGACCCAGAAAUGCAUAAUUUAUUAUCAGCCUUCACUCCAAAAUUUCCCCGCUUCACCUGGAAAAUUAAGAGAAAACAAACAUCAGACACCUGAAGUGCUUUCGGUGUGACCUCAGCCAAUUUCUGCAACCCACACACACAU
Oryzias melastigma (Indian medaka) is the source of this 753-nucleotide long non-coding RNA. RefSeq lists it as uncharacterized. Lineage: Eukaryota; Metazoa; Chordata; Actinopteri; Beloniformes; Adrianichthyidae. The record is from RefSeq and is a predicted model, not a curated record. The transcript has 3 exons.